GAUAUACAGGAAAAACCAUGGAUAAAACAAGGUUCAGCAGCUCACCAGGCUCUUGUAGCCAUCGUCCUGGAGAAGCGAUGAUUGAAGAAUGUUGUGAAGUUCAUCAACUUCAGGACAACAUCCGAUCUGGAAAGCUUCCAGAAUCACAUACUCAUGUACGCAGGAAAGCGGUUCUCCUAUACUCCAGCAGUGUAUCGGACGCGGACUCUGCUUGCUGCGAUAGACUACAACUGUGACAAUGGCCGCGCCCCGGCACGAAACAAAGAUGGACACAAGAUUUACAGACGAUGCUACAAUAAGAAGUCCAAAUCCUGGAGUGUCUGCACAGUGAAGGAAAAGAAGUACUCCUACAUUCAAGACCUGCAGAGAGGCAUUCUUCGGAAGAGGCUUGAAAGUGGAGGUGGCCUUCCCAAGACACAGACCCUGAGGCCAGAUGACCCCCGGAAU
This is a long non-coding RNA of Salarias fasciatus (jewelled blenny), 447 nucleotides long. RefSeq lists it as uncharacterized. Lineage: Eukaryota; Metazoa; Chordata; Actinopteri; Blenniiformes; Blenniidae. The record is from RefSeq and is a predicted model, not a curated record. The transcript is spliced from 4 exons.